CAAGAGAAGGAGAACACGAAAAUGGUUUUCCUCCAGCUGCUCUAAUGAAAAAGCAUUAUCAAAAAAAUGGGAAGCUGGUGUUCAGGCAAAAAGAGAUCAAAUUCCAGAUCCAAUCUUCAUCUGAAGUUUUGCUGUAUUUUAAAGCCCCUUCCUUUCAAAUAUAAGCACUUUUUUCCAGCUUCAUGUGAUUCAUCUUUGUUAUCAUAAAGCAUGCGACUUAAGAGAAACAAGGCUGAUGCAGAGGAGAUGAAGAUGUAGCUUGGUAGUUGUGUCUUAACAGGUGGUGACUCUAACAUCAGAUUGAAGGUGGCAUUAUUCCACUUUGUGGUGGUAUUUAUUUUGGCCUUAGGCCAUCACUGAGAUGCAAACCUAACUUCUGCACAGUGUAAGCCAUCUUUAAUCUUCUGUCACAAAUUCCAUGAAUUAAUUCAAGCAACAUUUCAUGGACCGGAUCACAUAAGUGGACCUACUGCUGCAGGAAAGAGAAGGAGAUACUUUGUAAAUAUUUCAGAGACUGAAGGACCACAGCUGGAUUAAUUUGAAUCACUCUGAAGUGACGUGUCAGAAAUCAGGAAGCAAAUUCCACAAGGAGAGCUGCAUUAACAAUUUUUUUUUCAAUACUAGUAACACGUUUUGCUGGUCCAGGCUGGAGUCAUCGCUAUAUGACUGGUUUGGGCUUGGAUAGAAUUACUUUUCCUCCUAGUAGCUGGUAUGGAGCUGGGUUCUGGAUUUCAGAAGAGAGUGAUGCUGACAACACACCGAUCUUUUAGUUGUCGCAGAGCACUGCUUACACAGAGCCAAGGAGGUUUCAUCUGCCCACACCGCCCUGCCAGCCAGGAGGCUGCGGGUGCACCAGGAGCUGGGAGGGGACGCAGCCAGGACAGCUGGCCCAAACUGGCCAGAGCCAUGUCCCAUACCCUAUGGGGUCGUGCUGAAGACUGGGACUGAGCAGGUUGGCCAGAGUGUGGCUACUGCCGCGCGGGGUCUGUCUGGGCAUCAUCACUCAGUGGGCAGCGAGCAAUUGCAUUGUGCGUCACCGUGCAUUCAUCCUGGAGGAGAGAAAGCUCGGCGGGAUCGUAGCAGUGUCUAGACAUCCCCAAAGGGAGGAUGCAAAGAAGACGGAGCCAGGCUCUUGUCAGCGGUGUCCAGCGGCCGGACAGCUCUAGGUGGCCCUGCUUCAGCAGGGGGUUGGAGCAGAUGACCUCCAGAGAUCCCUUCCAUCCCCAGCCCUUCUGGGAGCUUCCUUCUGGGUAAAAAACAGGGCCCUUUUAUACCACUGACACAGAAGAUGGCGUAGGAUGCCACCACGUAACAAGUGAGGUACUGCUCAAUUCUAUCUUCCACCUGAGACAGCCAAGAGGUUGCGGUGCUCCUGGUUUUCUCUAAACAAUCCUAGGUUUCUCAUGCAUAUUCCCACUGUCCCUGGCCAAUUUCCACCUUCCCAGGUGGAAAGUUGUUCCUCAGUUUCUUGAUGCGUCCUCAUCAAUGGUGGAACGCAAAAAGCGGUGUCACUUUCCAAGACUCCUUUGGGAGAAUUAGGAAGUAGGUAUUCUUUAUGAAGAACGCUGGGUAUGUGGGGGAUAAUUCCACCCAACACGUACAGCUAAGCAAGACAAGGAGUACUUAUUUAUGGUACGGGGAUAUCCAUAUUUAUGCAGUUCACAAGAAAAGGCAGGAUUUAUGCUAAUGGUUUCUCAGAACUAAUUAUCAUAUUGUCCCUCCUGCUGUUGCAGGUCAGGUAACCUCUGGUGGUUGCACUUC
Molecule: non-coding RNA, 1761 nt
Organism: Anas platyrhynchos (mallard)
Lineage: Eukaryota; Metazoa; Chordata; Aves; Anseriformes; Anatidae
Source: RefSeq, a predicted model, not a curated record